UGGUCAAUGAGAUCAUGAGCAAAGGGCUUCCUCUAUUCUUUCUCCCCUCCUUGUGACUAGAGGCAAAGAACUCCAAGAUGGUAGAGUUGGAAGAUGGAAGCUCCAGAGAUGCUCAGAGUAAAUCAUCAGGGGACUAUUGCCUGACCUGCCUCCAACAGUGAAAUGAACAAGAGACAGAUCUGAGGAUUGUACUGCAAAUUCGAGCCUUUUAUCUUACAACUGCUGGAGUCAUAUAUAGUUUUUGGUUUGAAGUAGAACAGAAGUAUUAUUCAUGGUUCAAUUAAGAUUCCCUUGGCUGCCUCCUUUCAGAAGAACCGAGUCCAUUGAAAUGAACUUUCUCAACUUUCUGCUUCUAUUCUGUGAGUGUCUUCUCUCUGCCCUCUCCCUCCUCAACCUUAUCACUGAUCUUGGGGGGCAUCUCUUCCCUAUCCAGACUGAUUUAUCCACUCAUGCUCUUGAUCAGUCUCUCCUGGACCUCUUUCAGGAGCCAAAGCCAUCCUUAUUAACCCUCUUUUUUGUUUAUGUCCUUGGAGGAGUUUGACCCUAUUGACUGGCUCUUUGUUCUUGAAGUGCUCUCCAGCCUCAGAGACUCUUGACCUGUUAACAUGGCC
Molecule: long non-coding RNA, 611 nt
Organism: Bos indicus x Bos taurus (hybrid cattle)
Lineage: Eukaryota; Metazoa; Chordata; Mammalia; Artiodactyla; Bovidae
Source: Ensembl